This 253-nucleotide ribosomal RNA is filed under the name uncultured bacterium. RNAcentral's name for it is "partial 16S ribosomal RNA". It matches the Rfam family "Bacterial small subunit ribosomal RNA", at positions 524 to 776 of the family's 1533-position model. The record is from RNAcentral.
UACAGAGGGGGCAAGCGUUGUUCGGAAUUACUGGGCGUAAAGGGCGCGUAGGCGGCCUUCUAAGUCAGACGUGAAAUCCCCGGGCUCAACCCGGGAACUGCGUCUGAUACUGGAAGGCUUGAAUCCGGGAGAGGGAUGUGGAAUUCCAGGUGUAGCGGUGAAAUGCGUAGAUAUCUUGAGGAACACCGGUGGCGAAGGCGGCAUCCUGGACCAAUAUUGACGCUGAGGAGCGAAAGCUAGGGGAGCAAACGGG